CAGCAGCCGCGGUAAUACGAAGGGGGCUAGCGUUGCUCGGAAUCACUGGGCGUAAAGGGUGCGUAGGCGGGUCUUUAAGUCAGGGGUGAAAUCCUGGAGCUCAACUCCAGAACUGCCUUUGAUACUGAAGAUCUUGAGUUCGGGAGAGGUGAGUGGAACUGCGAGUGUAGAGGUGAAAUUCGUAGAUAUUCGCAAGAACACCAGUGGCGAAGGCGGCUCACUGGCCCGAUACUGACGCUGAGGCACGAAAGCGUGGGGAGCAAACAGGAUUAGAUACCCGAGUAGUCCCUGUCUCUUAUAC
Molecule: ribosomal RNA, 301 nt
Filed under: uncultured bacterium
Lineage: Bacteria
Description: partial 16S ribosomal RNA
Rfam family: Bacterial small subunit ribosomal RNA
Source: RNAcentral